UACGAAGGUGGCAAGCGUUGUUCGGAUUUACUGGGCGUACAGGGCGCGUAGACGGUUGGAUAAGCCCUCCGUGAAAUCUCCAGGCUUAACCUGGAAAGUGCAGAGGGGACUGUUCAGCUAGAGGAUGGGAGAGGAGCGCGGAAUUCCCGGUGUAGCGGUGAAAUGCGUAGAGAUCGGCAGGAACACCCAGGGGGAAACCAGCCGGCUGGGGACGAGCUGACGCUCAGGGGCGAAAGCGUGGGGAGCGAACCGG
This 253-nucleotide ribosomal RNA is filed under the name uncultured bacterium. RNAcentral's name for it is "partial 16S ribosomal RNA". It matches the Rfam family "Bacterial small subunit ribosomal RNA", at positions 524 to 776 of the family's 1533-position model. The record is from RNAcentral.